GGCAUAAUACAUGCAAGACGAACGGUAAGUUUGGUAGCAAUACUGAACCUAGAGUGUCGUACGGGUGCGUAACACGUAUGCAACCUACCUUUUACAGGAGUAUAGCUCCCCGAAAGGGGAAUUAACCCUCCAUAAUAUCAUUGGAUGGCAUCAUUUGAUGAUUAAAACUGAGGUGGUAAAAGAUGGGCAUGCGACUGAUUAGUUAGUUGGCAGUGUAACGGACUACCAAGACGAUGAUCAGUAGGGGACCUGAGAGGGUGAUCCCCCACACUGGCACUGAGAUACGGGCCAGACUCCUACGGGAGGCAGCAGUAGGGAAUAUUGGACAAUGGGUGAGAGCCUGAUCCAGCCAUGCCGCGUGCAGGAAGAAGGCGUUAUGCGUUGUAAACUGCUUUUGCCAGGGGGAUAAAACGGUUCUGCGGAACUAAUUGAAGGUACCUGGUGAAUAAGCCACGGCUAACUACGUGCCAGCAGCGCGGUAAUACGUAGGUGGCAAGCGUUGUCCGGAUUUAUUGGGUUUAAAGGGUGCGUAG
This 533-nucleotide ribosomal RNA is filed under the name uncultured eubacterium WJGRT-172. RNAcentral's name for it is "bacterial SSU rRNA". It matches the Rfam family "Bacterial small subunit ribosomal RNA", at positions 45 to 574 of the family's 1533-position model. The record is from RNAcentral.